Candidatus Buchananbacteria bacterium is the source of this 72-nucleotide non-coding RNA. Lineage: Bacteria; Candidatus Buchananiibacteriota. The record is from Rfam.
GCCCCCGUAGUUCAAUGGAUAGAAUAAGGGACUUCUAAGCCUUUGAUGGUGGUUCGAUUCCACCCGGGGGUA